AAGGAAUAUUGGUCAAUGGACGCAAGUCUGAACCAGCCAUGCCGCGUGCAGGAUGACGGCCCUAUGGGUUGUAAACUGCUUUUGUACGGGAAAAAACCUUCGGACGUGUCCGGAGCUGAUGGUACCGUAAGAAUAAGGAUCGGCUAACUCCGUGCCAGCAGCCGCGGUAAUACGGAGGAUCCAAGCGUUAUCCGGAUUCAUUGGGUUUAAAGGGUGCGCAGGCGGGUAAAUAAGUCAGAGGUGAAAUCCUACAGCUCAACUGUAGAACUGCCUUUGAUACUGUUUGCCUAGAGUAUAAUUGAAGUGGGCGGAAUGUAGCAUGUAGCGGUGAAAUGCUUAGAUAUGCUACAGAACACCGAUUGCGAAGGCAGCUCACUAAGCUAAAACUGACGCUCAUGCACGAAAGCGUGGGGAUCAAAC
This 420-nucleotide ribosomal RNA is filed under the name uncultured bacterium. RNAcentral describes it as "bacterial SSU rRNA". It matches the Rfam family "Bacterial small subunit ribosomal RNA", at positions 356 to 773 of the family's 1533-position model. The record is from RNAcentral.